UGAGGUAAAGGCUCACCAAGCCCGACGAUCUGUAGCUGGUCCUGAGAGGACGACCAGCCACACUGGGACUGAGACACGGCCCCAGACUCCUACGGGAGGCAGCAGUGGGGAAUUUUGGACAAUGGGCGCAAGCCUGAUCCAGCAAUGCCGCGUGCAGGAUCGAAGGCCUUCGGGUUGUAAACUGCUUUUGUACGGAACGAAACGGUGAGCUCUAAUACAGUUUGCUAAUGACGGUACCGUAAGAAUAAGCACCGGCUAACUACGUG
RNAcentral lists this ribosomal RNA (266 nucleotides) under uncultured bacterium. RNAcentral's name for it is "partial 16S ribosomal RNA". It matches the Rfam family "Bacterial small subunit ribosomal RNA", at positions 253 to 507 of the family's 1533-position model. The record is from RNAcentral.